Molecule: long non-coding RNA, 647 nt
Organism: Sceloporus undulatus (fence lizard)
Lineage: Eukaryota; Metazoa; Chordata; Lepidosauria; Squamata; Phrynosomatidae
Exons: 4
Source: RefSeq, a predicted model, not a curated record
CACUGAUGGGUCAGAAUCAUAGGGUUGAAGGGGACUGCAAGGGCCAUCAAUCCAACUCCUGUCAAUGCAACAAUCCACAGCUAAAAUAUCCCUACAAGGUGGUCAUGCAACUUCAGCAUUACAAUGCCCUGUGAAGGAGAUCCAGUGACAUGGAAAGCAAUGCUUUGAAAUGUGCACAAUAAGCUCUUGGACUCAAGGCACCUUACAAAAAUUAUAACUGAUUACAUCACUUAAGAAAUGUCUUCACCUGCUGCCAUAAGGAACCCACAUAGGGGGCCAAGGAUGGAGUUCCAGAGCCUGGGAGCAGCCACCAAGAGGAUCCCCUUCUGUGUUUCCACAGAGGUCCCUGUGAGAAAAAUAGGGAUUUUCCACAAACAAUGAAAUGUCACCCCUUAGGGAAUAUUCUAUUUGCUCCAAUGUACUGUGAGAAUAGAUGGAUAAGAAGAGAGGCAAGAAUGAAACUGUAAGUACAAAAAAACAACAACAUAUAAAUGUAAUCCCUUUUGAAGUUGAGAAGCUUGUAUCAACUAGCAGAAAACCACACAGACCUGGAACACCUACUAAGGAAGAUCAAAGGAAAAAGUGAAAAGGCAGGCUCACUGUUGAACAUAAAGAAACAAAAAUAAUGACCACCAAGGACCUUCACA